UACGUAGGGUGCAAGCGUUGUCCGGAAUUAUUGGGCGUAAAGAGCUCGUAGGCGGUUUGUCGCGUCUGGUGUGAAAAUCCAGGGCUUAACCCUGGACCUGCAUCGGGUACGGGCAGACUAGAGUGCGGUAGGGGAGAUUGGAAUUCCUGGUGUAGCGGUGGAAUGCGCAGAUAUCAGGAGGAACACCGAUGGCGAAGGCAGAUCUCUGGGCCGUAACUGACGCUGAGGAGCGAAAGCAUGGGGAGCGAACAGG
RNAcentral lists this ribosomal RNA (253 nucleotides) under uncultured bacterium. RNAcentral's name for it is "partial 16S ribosomal RNA". It matches the Rfam family "Bacterial small subunit ribosomal RNA", at positions 524 to 776 of the family's 1533-position model. The record is from RNAcentral.